CCUAGGUGUUUUCAUAAGAAAAAUAACUGGUUUAUAGGAUGAGUUUCUUCCUCUUCUUAGUUAGUACAACACCGAGACCUUCUAACAUCUUAGACUCCUGCUGAGUCAAAUUUUGCAAGUUUUCAAUUGGCUCAUCCUGAAAACACUGCAUUCUGUUCUGUGGUAGAAGAACAAAGCAGAAAAAUAUUUUCUUUUCACUUAGAGCAAAGUGAAAAGGCACUGCUUCCCAGAGAGGAUUCUCUCCACCAGAUCGCAAGUGACCCCACCCAGGGCAUAUACGUUCAAAGGGGCUGGUAAGGCACGAAGGAAUGGAAUCUGAAUCAAACCCUAACUUUGUUUUGCUAGACUAAAAUUAGAAGUGGAGGAUCUGAGUUUUAAGCCCUGACGAAACAAAACUUCCUGUUUGUAUGACAACUUGCCUUGCAAGUUUCUAUCACAUCCAGUGGCUCUGACACUUCAGUUUUUUGAUGCGCUCUCUCUUUCUAUACAUACAGACUGCAAAUAUCUGGAUUGAAUUUCACUUUAAAGCGUACACAGGUUUAAACAUUACAUGGGAAAAAUGCUUGGUGAGAAUCUACUUGGAGUUCACUGAGCUCAGAAAGUUUAAUUGAAAAUAAAACCAGUGAUGCUUAGCUAUCCUCCUUUGGACCUUGUAACUGCGAUCACACAAACACCAGCACUGCAGGGGACCUUUGGCGCUGGCCGCGUCCCAGGCUCUUUCUUGCUCUUAAAGCAGUCCAUGAUGUCCUUCAAAGUCUGCUCUGACAGUUCUGACUCCCAUGCUUGACUUUGAAAAUGCCAGCUGAGGACAGAAACCGCUUUGCUCAAGUGAUCUCAGAAAUGGACACCAGGUGGCCGAAGAAGUGGACUCUCCGCAGAUUCCCAAAGGUCGUCCUCUGGACCUUAUCUCUUGGGCAUAUUUCACUUACCUCCCACGGACUAUUUUCCCUCGGGCACUGAGGACAAAGGGUGGUGGGGAGGAAUGGCAGCUUCUGGGAGGCUGAGGAAUUGUAAAUGCUCCUCCAUGAGACACACAGGGACUGAAAGGAAAUGCAAGGUGAGGCUUCUGAACAUUUUCCUGCUGGUUUCCUCUAUCUCAGUGACAUACAUUUGGAAGAUGUGAGCUCUGAGCCUAAUAGGCAGAGUUCUGGCUUGUUGUGGUUGGUUGUGGGAGUUCUGGCUGUUCAGCGUACCUCCUGCUGGACCUCCCGAUACAGGAUCCUUCCCUGGGACUGUCUCUGUGGGGAACUGUUUCCACUUCCUGUUUCAGGAGUGGUCAUGUGACUCCCUCUGGCCAAUGGAGUGAGUGGCCAUGACUCAACCCACACCUGAUCAGUGGCGUCGGACUGUCUUCUGGGUUGGUCAUUGCUCUCAGGUAGUGUUCACUGUAUGGCCAAAUGGGAGGAGGGAACACUUGGAAUUGAGCUCCAGCUGAACCACAGGACUCACAACACAGGUGGCUAGAGCUUGCAAAGUGACUCAGUGGACUGGAGAGAGCUAUUAUUCAUUGGGAAAGCAACAAGUAUUCCUUUAGAGAAACACCCUGACAUUUGUACUGCAUUUCCAUAGAACACCAACCUUCCUCCAUCAGCAAAGACAAGUUUAAACAGAUACUGGGUUCAAUGGGAGACUCAUUUUCCACUUUCCAUGGCAAAGAAUCUGAGUACUGGAAGAAGUCAGAAGUAUCAUUUGCUGAAUAGUUUUGUAAAGACAGUUUAAUUUCAGGUCCCUUAUUUGCGAGAGAGUUGGCUAACCCAAAUAAAACAUGAUCCAUCUGUCUGUUGUUAUGAGUGACCAACUUCAGCUGAACACUAUUACUUAAUAACAGCUAACUUUCCUAUAGACCGAGAAUGUGUAGCAGCUAUGAGCAGAUGGAAAUUUCCUUUGGUUUACCACCCUGGAUCUCUCUUGCUCCAACAUGUGAAGAACUUGGGUAAUAAGCAUAUUCUCCUUUUUAAUCACAGUAUGGCUUGGACAUGCAUUGUUGUGAGAUGACUGGUAAAACAGGAAAAUUUAUGUCUAGGGGGAAGAAAAAAAGCGAGUGGUAAUUGCGUUAGAUUCCCGAGAGCACUGCGCCAAAUGUUCUCUUCAGGGAAUAGAUCUCCACAACCGGCUCAGGGAAUCUCACUUACUAUUCCUGUCUAGAUUAAUUCAAACGUACAGAAGAAGACGGCUCAGAGCAGCAGCAUUAGGUUAAGGAGAAGGAAAUGUAGAGUAUUUGGGUUUGUUUGACUGUAACCUGGAAUAAGCCAGGCUGCAAGGCAUGUUUCUGCAGACAGCCCUGGCAGGGAGAGAUUUAACGCAGCUGGGCAUAGUUGGCGCAUGCAAAAAGGACCAGGGAAGCAGGCAGCAAGCAAGAAUGACUGCUCAGACUCUCUUCCCAGGACUCAUGAGUUGCUUUGCUUUUUUACGAUGCCCCAUUGUAUAGGGUGCAACGUUUCAGAUGGAUUUUCCCCCUCAAAGAGUUUCUGUCUUGCAGACAUUGAGCUUAGCAGUUUUCAACCCUCACGCAUAUAUUUCUUUGCUUCAGGCUUACAUUUUUGACUGGAAGGAAGGCAUAGAAAGAUAGGCAGCACCUUAUAAGUAAAAGUUCUGAUUUCAGACUGCUUAUUUUCCUGGCUUCGUGCUGGCUACUUUUCCUUUUGUUUAAAAUGCAUUCGAGAUUGUUGGUCUCUGCCAUUCAACUGAUGAUUCACGCACUGGGGUUGUUCACCUGCAGACAGGGUAGAAUUCUUUGUGUUGAUUUUUCAUGCUCAUUAUGACCCUAAUGGGACUCUUAUCCCAGACAAAGGAAAUGACUUUUGCUUGAUUUGGAAGAGAGUUGUUUAACCAUGGGAUGAGUGUCAAAAGUUGUACAACCCCGUCUCACUGUCAGCCUCAACUUUGACCACACUUCUCUGAUCCAGAAACUGGAUCUCGCCGGAUCCCAGGAGAACACAGUAAAUACCAGAAUUCUUGCCCUGUGCCCAACUUACUCUAAGGCCUGGUAAUAGUUCCGAGGUAUUUGCUUUUCUCAAGGUUGAAAACAGACUGCUGUGAUCUCCAAAUGAUAGUAAGACAGUCUCAAAUUUCGAAAUGCCUUCACAUUCAAUCAAAGUCUCAGACCUUUGGCAGCUCACUCAUCUCAAUCAGUAAACAGUGUAAGAAAGCACAUUCCUGCCAUCUGCACUUAAUUAGCUGGAGGACGACUGGCCCAAUUUUGGUGGUGUUAGAAUCUCCAGCCAUGAGACAAGAUGCCCAGUUAAACUUGUGGUGCAGAUGGACAGCAAAUAAUUUUUAGUUUAUGUAUACCACAGGCAAUCUUUGAUAUAUGCUUAUACUAAAAGGGAUUGUUUAUCUGAAAUACAGAGCUAUUUAUGGACUGUCUACAUUUAUCUAUGUGUACUGUAUGAAGAGAAAGAUAUAGAUAGCACAGUGGUCCUAUAUUUUUGUUUGCUAAAUCUAGCAUCUCUGGGAAAGAACAAAUGUAUGCUCAAGAGUAACUCAGGAGGCCAAAAAAAAGUAAAGAUGAGAUUUUAAUAGAUAGACAACAUUCUUAGAACACUAGCACUCCAGGUUUCGCCAGUACUAGGACUUCUGAAAACAAAUGCAGCUGUGCUGAGAGGGAGGCACAUCCAUACCUUUGUGUGGCUUGACAAGACUGGUGUGCUAAUCUCGUUUUAAUAUUUUAGUUCAAGGGUUCUUAACCAUUUUUUCUGCUAUUGUCCUCUUUUUUUUGGCUAUUGUCCUUUUUGGUGGAAUAGUAAGACGUAUGACUAACUUCUUGGAAUAGUGUUGAAACAGACAAAAAUAAACUA
Molecule: long non-coding RNA, 3797 nt
Organism: Fukomys damarensis (Damara mole-rat)
Lineage: Eukaryota; Metazoa; Chordata; Mammalia; Rodentia; Bathyergidae
Exons: 3
Source: RefSeq, a predicted model, not a curated record